RNAcentral lists this ribosomal RNA (595 nucleotides) under uncultured Micromonospora sp. RNAcentral describes it as "bacterial SSU rRNA". It matches the Rfam family "Bacterial small subunit ribosomal RNA", at positions 81 to 691 of the family's 1533-position model. The record is from RNAcentral. Lineage: Bacteria; Bacillati; Actinomycetota; Actinomycetes; Micromonosporales; Micromonosporaceae.
UUCGGGGUACUCGAGCGGCGAACGGGUGAGUAACACGUGAGCAACCUGCCCCAGGCUUUGGGAUAACCCCGGGAAACCGGGGCUAAUACCGAAUAUGACCUCUGACCGCAUGGUUGGUGGUGGAAAGUUUUUCGGCUUGGGAUGGGCUCGCGGCCUAUCAGCUUGUUGGUGGGGUGAUGGCCUACCAAGGCGACGACGGGUAGCCGGCCUGAGAGGGCGACCGGCCACACUGGGACUGAGACACGGCCCAGACUCCUACGGGAGGCAGCAGUGGGGAAUAUUGCACAAUGGGCGGAAGCCUGAUGCAGCGACGCCGCGUGAGGGAUGACGGCCUUCGGGUUGUAAACCUCUUUCAGCAGGGACGAAGCGUAAGUGACGGUACCUGCAGAAGAAGCGCCGGCCAACUACGUGCCACCACCCCCGGUAAGACCUAAGGGCGCGAGCGUUGUCCGGAUUUAUUGGGCGUAAAGAGCUCGUAGCGGCUUGUCGCGUCGACCGUGAAAACUUGGGGCUCAACCCCAAGCCUGCGGUCGAUACGGGCAGGCUAGAGUUCGGUAGGGGAGACUGGAAUUCCUGGUGUAGCGGUGAAAUGCGC